GAAGGAGUUGGUGAAGCUGAAGGUGUUGAUGCUAGUGAUGGUGAUGGUCAUGAUGGGGAUGCUGAAGGUGUUGAUGUUGGUGUUAGUGAGUGCUGGUGAUGGUUAUGAUGUUGGUGUUGGUGAUGCUGAAGGUGUUGGUGAUGCUGAAGGUGUUGAUGUUGGUGUUGGUGAUAGUGCUGGUGAUGGUCAUGAUGUUGGUGUUGGUGAUGCUGAAGGUGUUGAUGUUGGUGUUAGUGAGUGCUUGUGAUGGUCAUGAUGUUGGUGUUGGUGAUGCUGAAGGUGUUGGUGUUGGUGAUGCUGAAGGUGUUGAUGUUGGUGUUGGUGAUAGUGCUGGUGAUGGUCAUGAUGUUGGUGUUGGUGAUGCUGAAGGUGUUGGUGAUGCUGAAGGUGCUGAUGUUGGUGAUAGUGCUGGUGAUGGUCAUGAUGUUGGUAUUGGUGAUGCUGAAGGUGUUGAUGUUGGUGUUGGUGAUAGUGCUGGUGAUGGUCAUGAUGUUGGUAUUGGUGAUGCUGAAGGUGUUGAUGUUGGUGUUGGUGAUAGUGCUGGUGAUGGUCAUGAUGUUGGUGUUGGUGAUGCUGAAGGUGUUGAUGGUGUUGGUGAUAGUGCUGGUGAUGGUUAUGAUGUUGGUGUUGGUGAUAGUGCUGGUGAUGGUCAUGAUGUUGGUGUUGGUGAUGCUGAAGGUGUUGAUGGUGUUGGUGAUAGUGCUGGUGAUGGUUAUGAUGUUGGUGUUGGUGAUAGUGCUGGUGAUGGUCAUGAUGUUGGUGUUGGUGAUGCUGAAGGUGUUGAUGUUGGUGUUGGUGAUAGUGCUGGUGAUGGUUAUGAUGUUGGUGUUGGUGAUAGUGCUGGUGAUGGUCAUGAUGCUGAUGGUGUUGGUAAUGGUGAUGGUAUUGAUGGUAUUGCUGUUGUGAGCAGUGGUGUGUGGGAUGGAGAGAUGAAGAAGAAGAAGAAGAAGAAGAAGAAGAAGAAGAAGAAGAAGAAGAAGAGCAGGAGGCGGAGAACGAGGAGGAGGAGAAAAUGAAUGAUGGCAGUAUUGGAGCUGCAAAGAG
This is a long non-coding RNA of Ictalurus punctatus (channel catfish), 1044 nucleotides long. Lineage: Eukaryota; Metazoa; Chordata; Actinopteri; Siluriformes; Ictaluridae. The record is from Ensembl.